This 381-nucleotide ribosomal RNA is filed under the name Streptococcus infantarius. RNAcentral describes it as "bacterial SSU rRNA". It matches the Rfam family "Bacterial small subunit ribosomal RNA", at positions 969 to 1351 of the family's 1533-position model. Lineage: Bacteria; Bacillati; Bacillota; Bacilli; Lactobacillales; Streptococcaceae. The record is from RNAcentral.
CCUUACCAGGUCUUGACAUCCCGAUGCUAUUCCUAGAGAUAGGAAGUUUAUUCGGAACAUCGGUGACAGGUGGUGCAUGGUUGUCGUCAGCUCGUGUCGUGAGAUGUUGGGUUAAGUCCCGCAACGAGCGCAACCCCUAUUGUUAGUUGCCAUCAUUAAGUUGGGCACUCUAGCGAGACUGCCGGUAAUAAACCGGAGGAAGGUGGGGAUGACGUCAAAUCAUCAUGCCCCUUAUGACCUGGGCUACACACGUGCUACAAUGGUUGGUACAACGAGUCGCGAGUCGGUGACGGCAAGCAAAUCUCUUAAAGCCAAUCUCAGUUCGGAUUGUAGGCUGCAACUCGCCUACAUGAAGUCGGAAUCGCUAGUAAUCGCGGAUCA